AUGGGCAUCUUGUGUUGCUUCCAGUCCGGCGCCGACAAGCUCCUGGAUCAUGGUCAUGGUGGUGGUGGUGGUCCGGCGGCCGUACCUUCUUCCACAACCAAGAAGCCGCCUCCCCGAGACGCUCCAGCCGUCACCGUCCGCCCCCCUAAUCUGCUGCGACGAGAUGACGAUCAUCAAGAGGAGGAGGGCGCCCGCAGCAGCAGCAACAACAACAACCUUGCCACCCUCGUCGAUGAGAUUGUUGCAGAAUCAGCGACGCACCAGCACAACCGGCGGGUGGCUGACGAGAUCCUGGGGAUGAACAAGGAGGAGGCGGCGGUGACGGCGCGCGCAUUCACAUUCGCCGAGCUCUCGGAGGCCAGCGGCGGGUUCCGGGUGGACUCGAUGCUGGGCGAGGGCGGGUUCGGGCCGGUGUACCGUGGGCGGCUGCGGGACGGCACGGAGGUGGCGGUGAAGCAGCUGGACCGCAACGGGCUGCAGGGCACGCGCGAGUUCCUGGUGGAGGUGCUCAUGCUCAGCCUCCUCAAGCACCCCCACCUCGUCACCCUCAUCGGCUACUGCGCCGACGCCAACCACCGCAUGCUCGUCUACGAGUUCAUGCCCCAGGGCUCCCUCGAGGACCACCUCCUGGACCUGCCGCCGUCGUCCCGGGGGCUCGACUGGGCCAUGCGCAUGCGCAUCGCGCAGGGCGCCGCCCGGGGCCUCGAGUACCUCCACGACGCCUCCCGCCGCCCCGGCCCGCCCGUCAUCUACCGCGACUUCAAGGCCUCCAACAUCCUCCUCGACGGCUGCUUCCGCGCGCACCUCUCCGACUUUGGCCUUGCCAAGGUCGGCCCCGUCGGCGACAAGACCCAUGUCUCCACCAGGGUCAUGGGCACCUACGGCUACUGCGCCCCCGAGUACGCGCUCACGGGCAAGCUCACCACCAUGUCCGACGUCUAUAGCUUCGGCGUCGUCUUCCUCGAGAUCAUCACGGGGCGGCGCGUCAUCGACACGUCCAGGCCCCGUGAUGAGCACAACCUUGUGCAGUGGGCGGCACCGCGCUUCAAGAGCAAGAAGCGCUUCAGGGAGAUGGCCGACCCGCUCCUCCGCGGCGCAUACCCAACCAAGGGGCUCUACCAGGCGCUCGCCAUCUCCGCCAUGUGUCUGCAGGAGGAUGCCACCAUGCGCCCCUCCAUCGCCGACGUUGUCACGGCGCUCGACUACCUCACCGGCGUCGCCAAGCCUUCCCCUCCCUCUCAACAACAGUCGCCUUCCCCUAGCCCUAGCCCUACCCAUCCUCAACAACAGUCGCCUUCCCCUAGCCCUAGCCCUACCCAUCGUCAACAACAGUCGCCGCCCAAGGAGGAGGAUGAUGCCACUGACUAG
Molecule: ribosomal RNA, 1368 nt
Filed under: Triticum aestivum (bread wheat)
Lineage: Eukaryota; Viridiplantae; Streptophyta; Magnoliopsida; Poales; Poaceae
Description: partial small subunit ribosomal RNA
Source: RNAcentral